AUUGAACGCUGGCGGCAGGCCUAACACAUGCAAGUCGAGCGGAUGAAGGGAGCUUGCUCCUGGAUUCAGCGGCGGACGGGUGAGUAAUGCCUAGGAAUCUGCCUGGUAGUGGGGGAUAACGUCCGGAAACGGGCGCUAAUACCGCAUACGUCCUGAGGGAGAAAGUGGGGGAUCUUCGGACCUCACGCUCUCAGAUGAGCCUAGGUCGGAUUAGCUAGUUGGUGGGGUAAAGGCCUACCAAGGCGACGAUCCGUAACUGGUCUGAGAGGAUGAUCAGUCACACUGGAACUGAGACACGGUCAAGACUACUACGGGAGGCAGCAGUGGGGAAUAUUGGACAAUGGGCGAAAGCCUGAUCCAGCCAUGCCGCGUGUGUGAAGAAGGUCUUCGGAUUGUAAAGCACUUUAAGUUGGGAGGAAGGGCAGUAAGUUAAUACCUUGCUGUUUUGACGUUACCAACAGAAUAAGCACCGGCUAACUUCGUG
RNAcentral lists this ribosomal RNA (484 nucleotides) under uncultured bacterium. Its description in RNAcentral is "partial 16S ribosomal RNA". It matches the Rfam family "Bacterial small subunit ribosomal RNA", at positions 30 to 507 of the family's 1533-position model. The record is from RNAcentral.